This 396-nucleotide ribosomal RNA is filed under the name uncultured bacterium. Its description in RNAcentral is "partial 16S ribosomal RNA". It matches the Rfam family "Bacterial small subunit ribosomal RNA", at positions 523 to 917 of the family's 1533-position model. The record is from RNAcentral.
AUACGUAGGGGGCGAGCGUUGUCCGGAAUGAUUGGGCGUAAAGGGCGCGUAGGCGGCCCGGUAAGUCUGGAGUGAAAGUCCUGUUUUUAAGAUGGGAAUUGCUUUGGAUACUGUCGGGCUUGAGUGCAGGAGAGGUAAGUGGAAUUCCCAGUGUAGCGGUGAAAUGCGUAGAGAUUGGGAGGAACACCAGUGGCGAAGGCGACUUACUGGACUGUAACUGACGCUGAGGCGCGAAAGUGUGGGGAGCAAACAGGAUUAGAUACCCUGGUAGUCCACUCUGUAAACGAUGAAUGCUAGGUGUAGGGGGUAUCGACCCCUUCUGUGCCGCAGUCAACACAAUAAGCAUUCCGCCUGGGGAGUACGGCCGCAAGGUUGAAACUCAAAGGAAUUGACGGG